Molecule: small nuclear RNA, 185 nt
Organism: Lupinus angustifolius (narrow-leaved blue lupine)
Lineage: Eukaryota; Viridiplantae; Streptophyta; Magnoliopsida; Fabales; Fabaceae
Rfam family: U11 spliceosomal RNA
Source: Rfam
UAAAAUCAUUAGCCUCAAAAUGGCACUAAAACAAAUCAACUCAUUUUCACAAAUCAGGAACAUAUCGUAAACAUCAAAUGAAAUGCCAUGCUCAUCCUUGUGGUGAGUGCUGUAUGGCCAUCUAGACAUAUGGCUAACAUAAUUUCUGGAGCCUAAAGGGUUGGCUCAUUUUGGCCGACCCUCUU